GACCAGACUCCUACGGGAGGCAGCAGUGGGGCCUCUUGCACAAUGGGGGACACCCUGAUGCCGCGACGCCGCGUGCGUGAAGAAGUCCUUCGUUAUGUAACGCUCUAUCAGCAGGGCCGCCAAUGACGGUCCCUGAGUAAGACGCCCCGGCUAACUCCGUGCCAGCAGCCGCGGUCCUACGUAGGGGGCCCGCGUUCUCCGGCUUUACUGGGUGUACCGGGAGCGUAGACGGCAGUGCAAGUCUGGAGUGAAAGGCGGGGGCUCAACCCCCGGACUGCGCUGGAAACUGUACGGCUGGAGUGCAGGGGAGGUAAGUGGAAUUCCUAGUGUAGCGGUGAAAUGCGUAGAUAUUAGGAGGAACACCAGUGGCGAAGGCGGCCUGCUGGACUGCAACUGACGUUGAGGCCCGAAAGCGUGGGGAGCAAACAGGAUUAGAUACCCGUGUAU
RNAcentral lists this ribosomal RNA (447 nucleotides) under uncultured bacterium. RNAcentral's name for it is "bacterial SSU rRNA". It matches the Rfam family "Bacterial small subunit ribosomal RNA", at positions 329 to 793 of the family's 1533-position model. The record is from RNAcentral.